This 2904-nucleotide ribosomal RNA is filed under the name Escherichia coli. RNAcentral describes it as "23S ribosomal RNA". It matches the Rfam family "Bacterial large subunit ribosomal RNA". The record is from RNAcentral. Lineage: Bacteria; Pseudomonadati; Pseudomonadota; Gammaproteobacteria; Enterobacterales; Enterobacteriaceae.
GGUUAAGCGACUAAGCGUACACGGUGGAUGCCCUGGCAUUCAGAGGCGAUGAAGGACGUGCUAAUCUGCGAUAAGCGUCGGUAAGGUGAUAUGAACCGUUAUAACCGGCGAUUUCCGAAUGGGGAAACCCAGUGUGAUUCGUCACACUAUCAUUAACUGAAUCCAUAGGUUAAUGAGGCGAACCGGGGGAACUGAAACAUCUAAGUACCCCGAGGAAAAGAAAUCAACCGAGAUUCCCCCAGUAGCGGCGAGCGAACGGGGAGCAGCCCAGAGCCUGAAUCAGUGUGUGUGUUAGUGGAAGCGUCUGGAAAGGCGUGCGAUACAGGGUGACAGCCCCGUACACAAAAAUGCACAUAUUGUGAGCUCGAUGAGUAGGGCGGGACACGUGGUAUCCUGUCUGAAUAUGGGGGGACCAUCCUCCAAGGCUAAAUACUCCUGACUGACCGAUAGUGAACCAGUACCGUGAGGGAAAGGCGAAAAGAACCCCGGCGAGGGGAGUGAAAAAGAACCUGAAACCGUGUACGUACAAGCAGUGGGAGCACGCUUAGGCGUGUGACUGCGUACCUUUUGUAUAAUGGGUCAGCGACUUAUAUUCUGUAGCAAGGUUAACCGAAUAGGGGAGCCGAAGGGAAACCGAGUCUUAACUGGGCGUUAAGUUGCAGGGUAUAGACCCGAAACCCGGUGAUCUAGCCAUGGGCAGGUUGAAGGUUGGGUAACACUAACUGGAGGACCGAACCGACUAAUGUUGAAAAAUUAGCGGAUGACUUGUGGCUGGGGGUGAAAGGCCAAUCAAACCGGGAGAUAGCUGGUUCUCCCCGAAAGCUAUUUAGGUAGCGCCUCGUGAAUUCAUCUCCGGGGGUAGAGCACUGUUUCGGCAAGGGGGUCAUCCCGACUUACCAACCCGAUGCAAACUGCGAAUACCGGAGAAUGUUAUCACGGGAGACACACGGCGGGUGCUAACGUCCGUCGUGAAGAGGGAAACAACCCAGACCGCCAGCUAAGGUCCCAAAGUCAUGGUUAAGUGGGAAACGAUGUGGGAAGGCCCAGACAGCCAGGAUGUUGGCUUAGAAGCAGCCAUCAUUUAAAGAAAGCGUAAUAGCUCACUGGUCGAGUCGGCCUGCGCGGAAGAUGUAACGGGGCUAAACCAUGCACCGAAGCUGCGGCAGCGACGCUUAUGCGUUGUUGGGUAGGGGAGCGUUCUGUAAGCCUGCGAAGGUGUGCUGUGAGGCAUGCUGGAGGUAUCAGAAGUGCGAAUGCUGACAUAAGUAACGAUAAAGCGGGUGAAAAGCCCGCUCGCCGGAAGACCAAGGGUUCCUGUCCAACGUUAAUCGGGGCAGGGUGAGUCGACCCCUAAGGCGAGGCCGAAAGGCGUAGUCGAUGGGAAACAGGUUAAUAUUCCUGUACUUGGUGUUACUGCGAAGGGGGGACGGAGAAGGCUAUGUUGGCCGGGCGACGGUUGUCCCGGUUUAAGCGUGUAGGCUGGUUUUCCAGGCAAAUCCGGAAAACUAAGGCUGAGGCGUGAUGACGAGGCACUACGGUGCUGAAGCAACAAAUGCCCUGCUUCCAGGAAAAGCCUCUAAGCAUCAGGUAACAUCAAAUCGUACCCCAAACCGACACAGGUGGUCAGGUAGAGAAUACCAAGGCGCUUGAGAGAACUCGGGUGAAGGAACUAGGCAAAAUGGUGCCGUAACUUCGGGAGAAGGCACGCUGAUAUGUAGGUGAAGUCCCUCGCGGAUGGAGCUGAAAUCAGUCGAAGAUACCAGCUGGCUGCAACUGUUUAUUAAAAACACAGCACUGUGCAAACACGAAAGUGGACGUAUACGGUGUGACGCCUGCCCGGUGCCGGAAGGUUAAUUGAUGGGGUCAGCGCAAGCGAAGCUCUUGAUCGAAGCCCCGGUAAACGGCGGCCGUAACUAUAACGGUCCUAAGGUAGCGAAAUUCCUUGUCGGGUAAGUUCCGACCUGCACGAAUGGCGUAAUGAUGGCCAGGCUGUCUCCACCCGAGACUCAGUGAAAUUGAACUCGCUGUGAAGAUGCAGUGUACCCGCGGCAAGACGGAAAGACCCCGUGAACCUUUACUAUAGCUUGACACUGAACAUUGAGCCUUGAUGUGUAGGAUAGGUGGGAGGCUUGGAAGUGUGGACGCCAGUCUGCAUGGAGCCGACCUUGAAAUACCACCCUUUAAUGUUUGAUGUUCUAACGUUGACCCGUAAUCCGGGUUGCGGACAGUGUCUGGUGGGUAGUUUGACUGGGGCGGUCUCCUCCUAAAGAGUAACGGAGGAGCACGAAGGUUGGCUAAUCCUGGUCGGACAUCAGGAGGUUAGUGCAAUGGCAUAAGCCAGCUUGACUGCGAGCGUGACGGCGCGAGCAGGUGCGAAAGCAGGUCAUAGUGAUCCGGUGGUUCUGAAUGGAAGGGCCAUCGCUCAACGGAUAAAAGGUACUCCGGGGAUAACAGGCUGAUACCGCCCAAGAGUUCAUAUCGACGGCGGUGUUUGGCACCUCGAUGUCGGCUCAUCACAUCCUGGGGCUGAAGUAGGUCCCAAGGGUAUGGCUGUUCGCCAUUUAAAGUGGUACGCGAGCUGGGUUUAGAACGUCGUGAGACAGUUCGGUCCCUAUCUGCCGUGGGCGCUGGAGAACUGAGGGGGGCUGCUCCUAGUACGAGAGGACCGGAGUGGACGCAUCACUGGUGUUCGGGUUGUCAUGCCAAUGGCACUGCCCGGUAGCUAAAUGCGGAAGAGAUAAGUGCUGAAAGCAUCUAAGCACGAAACUUGCCCCGAGAUGAGUUCUCCCUGACUCCUUGAGAGUCCUGAAGGAACGUUGAAGACGACGACGUUGAUAGGCCGGGUGUGUAAGCGCAGCGAUGCGUUGAGCUAACCGGUACUAAUGAACCGUGAGGCUUAACCUU